This 1492-nucleotide ribosomal RNA is filed under the name Triticum aestivum (bread wheat). RNAcentral describes it as "partial small subunit ribosomal RNA". The record is from RNAcentral. Lineage: Eukaryota; Viridiplantae; Streptophyta; Magnoliopsida; Poales; Poaceae.
CCCCCCGAUGGGACAGCCCACAGCAAGUGAGCAAGUGUUCCUUCCUUUCGGGUAGCAGAGGUAGAGCAGUUGAGCGGUAGCGACUAAUGAUCAUGAUGAGUCAUUAGUAGUCGUCGAACAAUGUUGAGUAUGAGUGCGUUGAAACCUCGUCGCCGGCGGCUGCGGCUGCGGCGCAGGUACCUUUACCCGUUCUUUCGGUAGGCUAUGCGGCACCACCUGCGGAAGCGCUGACUCGGCAAGUUCCCGUUGGGGCGGCGCCACACGGAGGAGCUCCUGCUGUUGCGGCGCCUGCUCGCCACCUACGUCAGCCAACGGUGGCUCAAGUUGGAGAGCCUCUGGCGGAAGGAGCAGGCGCUGAAGAGGGCCGCGCGGUCGCGGCGCGGCGAGAAGGUGGAGGCUACCAAGUGAGGGCAGUGGCUCCAGCUGGACACACCCGUGCGCUGCAACCGGAGGCGGGUGAAGGAGAAGUGCCGGCAAGAGGGCCUCGUACCGUACUAGCUCAAGUACUGGUUCAGGCCAUAGGACUGACGCUUUUUUCAAGGGGGCGGUCCCCCGCGUCCGCUCCGGGUGCCCUUCGACAAAUAACUCGACUUAAAGGGGUACUAACUAAAGGACCCGACGUUGCUCUACGGCAGCUAAGGCCUCUGGGAUUUGCCGCGUGGUCACCAGUCACAAGUGUUUAGCCGCCGGCUGCCACUAGAGUAACACCUCGAAAGAAGUCGUGUUCUCCAACGGCUGUAGGAAGGAUUGUAGCUACUUUAAUUUUUCAACAGUACACCACCAUAGUACCAAUGUCCUGGCCGUGGACGACCUAGACCAAUACUGAAGAAGUGUGCAAAUAAGACGGGCUUUAAACCCUACCUACUCCUGGGACAGUGACCGUCAUAUGUAACACAUAACCCUGGGAUAACCCCAUCUUUCGAACCCUUCGUUUUUGACUGCCGUAAAGUUCGUAGAGGUUCCCCACCUUGCGAUAUGGACCUUGACCUACUGCGUUUAGCCUCUCACUUCUAGGUUCCUCUUUGACAAUGACAGUACUGGCCCUGCGAGGACCGCAUUGUACAGUAGAUCCGUACGAACGAAACAUCCCUUUAGUGACAGCCCGAACAUUAUACUUGUUAGCAACACCCGUUAAUGAGAUCCGACGAGACACCACCAAAAUCUUGAAGGUCGCCAAAGAACUUCCAGUGAGGCGGCCACAUACUAGACACGUUCCGGUGGUUAUAAAAGGUCAUUGGAGAAGGGUGUAUCAAUAUAGGAUCGUUUGCAAAGACGAUUUGGUGUGCGUUACCAACGAAUUUUAUAUGUAGCUGUUUUAGCGUCCUUACCGUCUAUACGAACCUUAGCUUGAUAGUUUCUGUUGGGUGGUGGGUACCUCAUCAUACUAGAAACUAUGAUAAACGUUAAGACAAACUACAAUAAACAUUACACCCUGAAUUUUUGAGGUCUCGAGAACACCAAAUGGACUUGUUACGGAACGUUCCGGUUCUGU